Rattus norvegicus (Norway rat) is the source of this 65-nucleotide small nuclear RNA. Ensembl annotates it as U7 small nuclear RNA. The record is from Ensembl. Lineage: Eukaryota; Metazoa; Chordata; Mammalia; Rodentia; Muridae.
GAGUGAACACAACUCUUCUAGAAUUUUUCUAUCAGGAUUUCUGAUCUUGGUUAGAGAAAUCCAAG